This is a long non-coding RNA of Xenopus tropicalis (tropical clawed frog), 765 nucleotides long. RefSeq lists it as uncharacterized. Lineage: Eukaryota; Metazoa; Chordata; Amphibia; Anura; Pipidae. The transcript has 3 exons. The record is from RefSeq and is a predicted model, not a curated record.
AGAACAUGGAAGUGCUAAAGGGAAAAGAUAUUUCUUAAUUCAGACAAAAGGCAAGAAAAACAUGUUCAGGACAAGUCACAAUUCAUGUUAAAAAAGAUUUUGACUUUGGUUUAUCCCUCCCAAGAGAGAUUGUGCCGUCAUCAGUCUGCAAACCAGGCUGCUAAGAUGCUCCAUCCCCAGGAACAGCAACCGACUCCUGCUUAUAUAUGCUCAGGGAUAUGCUUUAAUUAAAUAACUCCACAAAAUUGCAUUAUAAAGAGGAGAAAUGCUUUACCUUGUCUGUGUAGAUAAAGAACAGGGUGACCACAAUGAGCUCCAGGAGGAAUAUGAUCAGCAACAAGAUGAAAAACUAAAGAGAAAAGAAGGGCAAGUUUUUACUGUCAUCUUUCUACUCUGUAUUGUGGCUGCUAGUCGCUGUUGAUGGGAAUGAUGUACCUGCUUAGCCCAUUGACCCAGAGUAACAAGGACUCAAGGUGCAACCCCUAAAUGAAGAAAGCAUACUGUUGAAAGCCACCUACAGAAGGAUACAAUAUUUGUGAAGGAGACAUAGGGGCUCAUGUGGAGCAUCACCUGGUGCCUCUAGCAGUCAUAAUUUACAACUGACUGUCCAUGUUCUUGAGGAUCCUAUUGGGCCUUCCACCUUAUCUUCAUUAUGUUUUGUCAUCUUGCAGUAAAAGGUCACCAACAAUAAGCUAAUAUGGCAUUAUGUCAUGGAGUUGCUUUAAUAGAAUACUGUGGUCAAUAAACACUGUUCCUUUGCCUGAC